Molecule: long non-coding RNA, 1149 nt
Filed under: Apteryx haastii (Great spotted kiwi)
Lineage: Eukaryota; Metazoa; Chordata; Aves; Apterygiformes; Apterygidae
Description: lncRNA (ENSAHAG00000006807.1)
Source: RNAcentral
UGCAGCCGAGCGAUUUUCCCGCGGUUGGCGGGAACACAGCGAUGGCCAGCGGGGCCGGGGAAGCCACGAGCCCCAGUCCCGCGGGGAGCUGGUUUAGGGAAGAGGGGCCCAAACGCCAUCACGAUUAAUAGGAUACCGAUCAAAGAUAAUAACCAACAUGUCAUCUUUCAGCAUCAGGACACCCCUGCGCCCCCGUGUGCCCAAGCCGCCACCGCAAGGGCCGCCUUUCUGCCACCGAGGCCACCUCACCGGGGAUGUGCCACCCCCUGCGGCCCCUCGCGGCCCUCGUCCUCGCCGCCAGACCCCGGCCCCGCUCACCAGCUGGCCCCCGGCAGCCCUCGGCCACCGCUGCCCGCCGCCCGUGGAAGGCACGCGCUCUUCUCCCUCUUCGGACAAAAAAAGCCAUCUCCCAUUCCGGCCACCAAGACGGCCACGAGUUCAGCUUUGUCACUGACUACUGCCAAAAUCAGGCCCCUUCCAGCAUCUGCUUCUUCCCAGGAUACUUCUAAGACAAAAACUUCAGUUGCUUUAGAAAAAAAGAAUAAAUCAAGCGCUCCGCAGGCUGAAAUCAAGCCAAGGCCCUUUGCUCCUCAGCUUUCCCAGCCAUCGCCAGGGUCUUCUCCCAGGACGCCCGCCCAAGGCUCGGCCAGCUUCCCAGCACCGGCAGCAAAGCAAAACCCGCGCGGAGGGAUUUUUCAGCAACCGUCGAGAAAGCCACCGCCCUCGGCAGUGUCCGGCACUGCGUCUGCCUCAGUGCUGCCCUUGGUAAGCGAUGGGCUCCAGCCGCCGUCGGCCGCCUCCCCGGGGCCGGCCGCGAGCGCCAAGGAGGGCCGGGAGCCGGCCAACGCCAGCGCCUCCGCUUCGUGCCCAAAAGUCAUCUCGCUGAAGAAAGGCUUUGCCGUGGCGCCGUUCCCCAGCCUGACCCGAAACCCCGGGGCCAGCACCUGUGCCGAACCACCACCUCGGCCCCCGGCGAGCGCCGGCAGCCAGGACCCACCUGGGGCUGCCGGGAAAGCCACCGGAGAAGCCACAAACCUCAGCAGACCCCCGUCCGCCGUGAGCCCGGGGACCGCGGCGCAGAAGAAAAAAGCUUUAAGGUCUGCACCCUUGGUAAGGAUAUUAUAUCACUGUAUUAUUAAGAAAAUUUGA